RNAcentral lists this non-coding RNA (22 nucleotides) under Mus musculus (house mouse). The record is from RNAcentral. RNAcentral also lists the same sequence under 1 other name. Lineage: Eukaryota; Metazoa; Chordata; Mammalia; Rodentia; Muridae.
UAUGGCUUUUCAUUCCUAUGUG